AGUGAACGCUGGCGGUAGGCCUAACACAUGCAAGUCGAACGGCAGCACAGUAAGAGCUUGCUCUUACGGGUGGCGAGUGGCGGACGGGUGAGGAAUACAUCGGAAUCUACUUUUUCGUGGGGGAUAACGUAGGGAAACUUACGCUAAUACCGCAUACGACCUACGGGUGAAAGCAGGGGAUCUUCGGACCUUGCGCGAUUGAAUGAGCCGAUGUCGGAUUAGCUAGUUGGCGGGGUAAAGGCCCACCAAGGCGACGAUCCGUAGCUGGUGUGAGAGGAGGAUCAGCCACACUGGAACUGAGACACGGUCCAGACUCCUACGGGAGGCAGCAGUGGGGAAUAUUGGACAAUGGGCGCAAGCCUGAUCCAGCCAUACCGCGUGGGUGAAGAAGGCCUUCGGGUUGUAAAGCCCUUUUGUUGGGAAAGAAAAGCAGCAGGUUAAUACCCCGCUGUUCUGACGGUACCCAAAGAAUAAGCACCGGCUAACUUCGUG
This 492-nucleotide ribosomal RNA is filed under the name uncultured bacterium. RNAcentral describes it as "partial 16S ribosomal RNA". It matches the Rfam family "Bacterial small subunit ribosomal RNA", at positions 29 to 507 of the family's 1533-position model. The record is from RNAcentral.